GACGAACGCUGGCGGCGUGCUUAACACAUGCAAGUCGAACGGAAAGGCCCUGCUUUUGUGGGGUGCUCGAGUGGCGAACGGGUGAGUAACACGUGAGUAACCUGCCCUUGACUUUGGGAUAACUUCAGGAAACUGGGGCUAAUACCGGAUAGGAGCUCCUGCUGCAUGGUGGGGGUUGGAAAGUUUCGGCGGUUGGGGAUGGACUCGCGGCGUAUUAGCUAGUUGGUGGGGUAGUGGCUUACCAAGGCUUUGACGGGUAGCCGGCCUGAGAGGGGGACCGGGCACAGGGGAAGUGAGACACGGGGCAGAGUGCUACGGGAGGCAGCGGGAGGGAAUCUGCCGCAAUGGGAGAAAGCAUGACGGAGCAACGCCGCGUGAGUGAUGAAGGUCUUCGGAUCGUAAAACUCUGUUAUGAGGGAAGAACAAAUGUGUAAGUAACUAUGCACGUCUUGACGGUACCUAAUCAGAAAGCCACGGCUAACUACGGG
Molecule: ribosomal RNA, 488 nt
Filed under: uncultured bacterium
Lineage: Bacteria
Description: partial 16S ribosomal RNA
Rfam family: Bacterial small subunit ribosomal RNA
Source: RNAcentral